This 73-nucleotide transfer RNA is filed under the name Vacuolaria virescens. Its description in RNAcentral is "tRNA-His". It matches the Rfam family "tRNA". Rfam says of the family: Transfer RNA (tRNA) molecules are approximately 80 nucleotides in length. Their secondary structure includes four short double-helical elements and three loops (D, anti-codon, and T loops). Lineage: Eukaryota; Raphidophyceae; Chattonellales; Vacuolariaceae. The record is from RNAcentral.
GCGAGCGUAGCCAAAUGGUUAAGGCAGUGGGUUGUGACUCCAUUAUGCGCGGGUUCAACUCCCGUCGUUCGCC